RNAcentral lists this long non-coding RNA (230 nucleotides) under Elaeis guineensis (African oil palm). RNAcentral describes it as "long non-coding RNA (EGUI_LNC065201)". The record is from RNAcentral. Lineage: Eukaryota; Viridiplantae; Streptophyta; Magnoliopsida; Arecales; Arecaceae.
CCACACAUAUAUUUUUCUCUUGUCGUCUUGUCUUGUUCUUGUUGUUUUGCUUUUCUUCCUUUAGCCUGCUGGGCUUUGUAGUAUAUAUUUUGUGAAUGAAAUGAAAAGAAGAUUUUGCAUUACGUCGUCCAUGCAUUGCAUUAAAUUAUCGUCCACCGAACUUCUUCUUUUUUUCACUUUCUUCUUUUUUUUUUUUGACUUGUUCGGCGUCGGUGUUGCACGGAGAUGCC